Molecule: ribosomal RNA, 273 nt
Filed under: Bigelowiella longifila
Lineage: Eukaryota; Cercozoa; Chlorarachniophyceae
Description: partial Bacterial large subunit ribosomal RNA
Rfam family: Bacterial large subunit ribosomal RNA
Source: RNAcentral
AGCGAACGCGGAACAGCCCAAACCGCAUCCUACGGGGUGCGGGGUAGUAGGACCUGCGUAAUUUUUGUAAUCUUAAAUCGAAGCUGUCUGGAAAGCAGCGCCACAGAAGGUGAAAGCCCUGUAGGUGUACCGAUUACAAAAAGGCGGGUAUCCUGAGUAGCGCGAGACCGGUGAAAUCUUGCGUGAACCAGCCGGCACCAUCCGGUAAGGCUAAAUACAUCUGCAUGACCGAUAGUGAACCAGUACCGUGGGGGAAAGGUGAAAAGUACCCUG